CAGUUCGGAUCGCAGUCUGCAACUCGACUGCGUGAAGGUGGAGUCGCUAGUAAUCGCGCAUCAGCCAUGGCGCGGUGAAUACGUUCCCGGGCCUUGUACACACCGCCCGUCAAGCCAUGGGAGCCGGGGUGCCUGAAGUACGUGACCGCGAGGAGCGUCCUAAGGCAAAACUGGUGACUGGGGCUAAGUCGUAACAAGGUAGC
RNAcentral lists this ribosomal RNA (203 nucleotides) under uncultured bacterium. Its description in RNAcentral is "partial 16S ribosomal RNA". It matches the Rfam family "Bacterial small subunit ribosomal RNA", at positions 1289 to 1500 of the family's 1533-position model. The record is from RNAcentral.